GUUCUGUGCAGGCAUGGUUCACCUGUGUAGGCAUGACUCACCUGUGUAGGUAUGAGUUCUGUGUAGGCAUGACUCACCUGUGUAGGUAUGAGUUCUGUGCAGGCAUGGCUCACCUGUGUAGGGAUAACUCACCUGUGUAGGUAUAAGUUCUGUGUAGGCAUGACUCAACUGUGUAGGUAUGAGUUCUGUGUAGAUAUGACUCACCUGUGUAGGUAUAAGUUCUGUGUAGGCAUGACUCAACUGUAUAGAUAUGGGUUCUGUGUAGGGAUGACUUAAAUGUGUAGGUAUAAGUUCUGUGUAGAGGUAUGAGUUCUGUGUAGGGAUGACUCACCUGUGUAGGUAUGAGUUCUGUGUAGAUAUGACUCACCUGUGUAGAGGUAUUAGUUCUGUGUAGGCAUGACUCAACUGUAUAGGUAUGAGUUCUGUGUAGACAUGACUCACCUGUGUAGGUGUGAGUUCUGUGUAUGCAUGACUCACCUGUGUAGGUAUGAGUUCUGUGUAUGCAUGACUCACCUGUGUAGGUAUGAGUUCUGUGUAUGCAUGACUCACCUGUGUAGGUAUGACUUACCUGUGUAGAUAUGACUCACCUGUGUAGGUAUGACUCACCUGUGUAGGUAUGACUUUCCUGUGUGAUCAUUAUUUAUGGGUGUGGGUAUGUAUAACUUCAGUUGGUUACUUGGAGCAGGACAACAUUUAAUUCUUUUGUUUGUUUUAAACAUGUUAUUCAUGAGAAAAGGGUUUCAUUUUUUAUUAAUGGAACUAUGAAAUGGGCAUGUACUCCUAUAGCUGAAGUGUUUCCAAUUGCACAUUUUGUUGCUUUAUAUUGUUUAUGCACAGUAUACCUGCUGGUAAAUCUCUUUAAGACAUUUUGUCACUCUGUGGCUGUAAUGCUGCCUCUUUGAAAGUCAGCUUUUAUCAAAGACACGAUCAUGGAAAAAUAUAGGCCUAUCACGACUUUUAACUAUUAUAUUUCUAAGACAUGCAAGUGUUUCUUUUAAAAAUUCUUGUUUUUAAUUAAAACUUUUAUGACAUUUUCCCCCAACACUUCUUUUUUUUAAGUGCUAUUUUGCCUGUUCUAUCAGGCCAAAGGACUUUAUCAAACACCAUUCUUUGAUCAAUGAAUUAAAAUCGAGCACAAAUUAAACACCUUUUGAAACUAGUGGUGUUCUGAUUAAUUGAAAUAAUCAAAGAUUGGUCGCAGUGACCGAACGACCAAGCAAUCGAUCACAUUUUCUCAUAAUCAAACACAUACAAUUUUGGAUCUACUGUUUUAGCGUUUGAAACACUUGACGAUGGAACAUAUCUUAGAGGUUGUCAGGACCUGAAAACAUGUUUACAUCUUAGACAACUCCUACUGAAGGGUCAUGACUGAAUAUUUCUUGAAGACUCCGGGAAGUUUAUGUUCAUGAUAUAUUAGUCAUCACUUUAGAGUAGCAAGUUGCAUCAAGUUAUACUUAUUUGCAAUAACAAAACUUGAAUAAGAAAAUCUGAAAAAUGUUGCUUACCAUUUUUUUCAAUGAUACCUUGUUCGUAAUGAACCAAUCAUCAAUUGUGAGAUUUCGACCAAUACCAACACUAUAAGCAGCACAUGAGAUGUAACUAUGGUUAAACAUGAAUAACUAUGGUUAUCUCACACUAUAGCGUGACUAUUGUUAUCUCACUCUAUAUCAUAUGUAUGGUUAUCUCACACUAUAGCGUGACUAUGGUUAUCAGACUAAGGUUAUCUCACUAUAGUUAUCUCACUCUAUAUCAUAUGUAUGGUUGUCUCACAGCUGUUAUCUCACUGUAAUCAUGGUUAUCUCACUCAAUGCUGUAACUAAAGCUAUCUCACUCUGUGCAAUAACUAUGGUUAUCUUACAGUCUAAAUAAACUUAGGCUUAGUAUUAUUCGUUAGACUGCUAUACUGAGUCUAACAAAACCUAGUAGAAGGUUGUGUCAGCUAACCUUUUGGACUGACCAAUCAGAACACAGCUUACCAAAUCGCGAAAGUUAACAUUUGCACAUACUGUUUGAAC
Long non-coding RNA from Haliotis rubra (blacklip abalone), 2015 nucleotides. RefSeq lists it as uncharacterized. The record is from RefSeq and is a predicted model, not a curated record. NCBI's taxonomy places the organism in Eukaryota, Metazoa, Mollusca, Gastropoda, Lepetellida, Haliotidae. The transcript is spliced from 4 exons.